RNAcentral lists this ribosomal RNA (929 nucleotides) under uncultured archaeon. Its description in RNAcentral is "bacterial SSU rRNA". It matches the Rfam family "Archaeal small subunit ribosomal RNA", at positions 1 to 906 of the family's 1478-position model. The record is from RNAcentral.
UUCCGGUUGAUCCUGCCGGACCCUACUGCUAUCGGGGUGGGACUAAGACAUGCGAGUUGAGCGUCUCUAAGCCAUGGUAGAGACGCGGCGUACGGCUCAGUAACACGUGGCUAACCUACCCUUAGGACGGGGACAACCCCGGGAAACUGGGGCUAAUACCCGAUAGGCGAGGAGGCCUGGAAUGGUUCUUAGUCGAAAAGGCGUUGAAACCAUGCUUUUCGACGUUGCCUAAGGAUGGGGCCGCGCCCGAUCAGGUUGUUGGUGGGGUAACGGCUCACCAAGCCUAUAACCGGUACGGGCCGUGAGAGCGGGAGCCCGGAGAUGGGCACUGAGACAAGGGCCCAGGCCCUACGGGGCGCAGCAGUCGCGAAAACUCCGCAAUGCGCGAAAGCGUGACGGGGCUACCCCGAGUGCCGUCCGCUGAGGAUGGCUUUUCCCCGGUGUAAUGAGCCGGGGGAAUAAGGAGAGGGCAAGUCUGGUGUCAGCCGCCGCGGUAAUACCAGCUCUCCGAGUGGUAGGGAUGAUUAUUGGGCUUAAAGCGUCCGUAGCCGGCUUAGCAAGUCUCCUGUUAAAUUCAGCGACCUAAUCGUUGAGCCGCGGGAGAUACUACUAGGCUAGGAGGCGGGAGAGGCCGACGGUAUUCUCGGGGUAGGGGUGAAAUCCUAUAAUCCCGGGAGGACCACCAGUGGCGAAGGCUGUCGGCUAGAACGCGCUCGACGGUGAGGGACGAAAGCUGGGGGAGCGAACCGGAUUAGAUACCCGGGUAGUCCCAGCUGUAAACGAUGCGGGCUAGGUGUUGGGGUGGCUACGAGCCACCUCAGUGCCGCAGGGAAGCCAUUAAGCCCGCCGCCUGGGGAGUACGGCCGCAAGGCUGAAACUUAAAGGAAUUGGCGGGGGAGCACCACAAGGCGUGAAGCUUGCGGUUCAAU